Molecule: ribosomal RNA, 482 nt
Filed under: uncultured bacterium
Lineage: Bacteria
Description: partial 16S ribosomal RNA
Rfam family: Bacterial small subunit ribosomal RNA
Source: RNAcentral
AUUGAACGCUGGCGGCAUGCCUUACACAUGCAAGUCGAACGGUAACAGGUCUUCGGAUGCUGACGAGUGGCGAACGGGUGAGUAAUACAUCGGAACGUGCCCAGACGUGGGGGAUAACGAGGCGAAAGCUUUGCUAAUACCGCAUACGAUCUAAGGAUGAAAGCAGGGGACCGCAAGGCCUUGUGCGUUUGGAGCGGCCGAUGGCAGAUUAGGUAGUUGGUGGGAUAAAAGCUUACCAAGCCGACGAUCUGUAGCUGGUCUGAGAGGACGACCAGCCACACUGGGACUGAGACACGACCCAGACUCCUACGGGAGGCAGCAGUGGGGAAUUUUGGACAAUGGGCGAAAGCCUGAUCCAGCAAUGCCGCGUGCAGGAUGAAGGCCUUCGGGUUGUAAACUGCUUUUGUACGGAACGAAAAGGCUCUGGCUAAUACCUGGGGCACAUGACGGUACCGUAAGAAUAAGCACCGGCUAACUACGUG